CCACCAAGGCGACGAUGCGUAGGGGUUCUGAGAGGAAGGUCCCCCACGCUGGUACUGAGACACGGACCAGACUCCUACGGGAGGCAGCAGUGAGGAAUAUUGGUCAAUGGGCGCGAGCCUGAACCAGCCAAGUCGCGUGAGGGAAGACGGUCCUAUGGAUUGUAAACCUCUUUUGUCGGGGAGCAAAAGACGCCACGUGUGGCGUUCCGAGAGUACCCGAAGAAAAAGCAUCGGCUAACUCCGUGCCAGCAGCCGCGGUAAUACGGAGGAUGCGAGCGUUAUCCGGAUUUAUUGGGUUUAAAGGGUGCGCAGGCGGAAGAUCAAGUCAGCGGUAAAAUUGAGAGGCUCAACCUCUUCGAGCCGUUGAAACUGGUUUUCUUGAGUGAGCGAGAAGUAUGCGGAAUGCGUGGUGUAGCGGUGAAAUGCAUAGAUAUCACGCAGAACUCCGAUUGCGAAGGCAGCAUACCGGCGCUCAACUGACGCUCAUGCACGAAAGUGUGGGUAUCGAACAGGAUUAGAUACCCUGGUAGUCCACACAGU
This 540-nucleotide ribosomal RNA is filed under the name uncultured bacterium. Its description in RNAcentral is "bacterial SSU rRNA". It matches the Rfam family "Bacterial small subunit ribosomal RNA", at positions 265 to 803 of the family's 1533-position model. The record is from RNAcentral.